CGGACGGGUGAGUAACACGUGGAUAACCUACCUAUAAGACUGGGAUAACUUCGGGAAACCGGAGCUAAUACCGGAUAAUAUAUUGAACCGCAUGGUUCAAUAGUGAAAGACGGUUUUGCUGUCACUUAUAGAUGGAUCCGCGCCGCAUUAGCUAGUUGGUAAGGUAACGGCUUACCAAGGCGACGAUGCGUGGCCGACCUGAGAGGGUGAUCGGCCACACUGGAACUGAGACACGGUCCAG
Molecule: ribosomal RNA, 241 nt
Filed under: uncultured Staphylococcus sp.
Lineage: Bacteria; Bacillati; Bacillota; Bacilli; Caryophanales; Staphylococcaceae
Description: partial 16S ribosomal RNA
Rfam family: Bacterial small subunit ribosomal RNA
Source: RNAcentral